UAAGAAGAAGAAGAAGAAGA
Molecule: microRNA, 20 nt
Filed under: Corchorus olitorius
Lineage: Eukaryota; Viridiplantae; Streptophyta; Magnoliopsida; Malvales; Malvaceae
Also listed under: 1 other name
Description: ath-miR50
Source: RNAcentral